Molecule: small nucleolar RNA, 107 nt
Organism: Labeo rohita (rohu)
Lineage: Eukaryota; Metazoa; Chordata; Actinopteri; Cypriniformes; Cyprinidae
Source: RefSeq, a predicted model, not a curated record
UUCCAAUGAUGAGUUUGCCAUGCUAAUACUGAUGCAUCAGAGUUUUUCACUCUGGGUGUAAGUGAGUUCAGCUAAACUUCUCACACUUUCAGUGUGCUCUGAGGAAA